UGAGGAAUAUUGGUCAAUGGGCGAGAGCCUGAACCAGCCAAGUCGCGUGAAGGAUGAAGGUUCUAUGGAUUGUAAACUUCUUUUGUCCGAGGGUAAAGUGAGCCACGUGUGGUUUAUUGCAAGUAUCGGACGAAUAAGCAUCGGCUAACUCCGUG
Molecule: ribosomal RNA, 155 nt
Filed under: uncultured bacterium
Lineage: Bacteria
Description: partial 16S ribosomal RNA
Rfam family: Bacterial small subunit ribosomal RNA
Source: RNAcentral